AUUGAACGCUGGCGGCAUGCUUUACACAUGCAAGUCGAACGGUAACAGGGAGCUUGCUCCGCUGACGAGUGGCGAACGGGUGAGUAAUGCAUCGGAACGUGCCGUGUAAUGGGGGAUAACGUAGCGAAAGUUACGCUAAUACCGCAUACGCCCUGAGGGGGAAAUGGGGGACCGCAAGGCCUCACGUUAUACGAGCGGCCGAUGUCGGAUUAGCUAGUUGGUGGGGUAAAGGCCUACCAAGGCGACGAUCCGUAGCGGGUCUGAGAGGAUGAUCCGCCACACUGGGACUGAGACACGGCCCAGACUCCUACGGGAGGCAGCAGUGGGGAAUUUUGGACAAUGGGGGGCAACCCUGAUCCAGCCAUGCCGCGUGAGUGAAGAAGGCCUUC
RNAcentral lists this ribosomal RNA (389 nucleotides) under uncultured bacterium. Its description in RNAcentral is "bacterial SSU rRNA". It matches the Rfam family "Bacterial small subunit ribosomal RNA", at positions 30 to 419 of the family's 1533-position model. The record is from RNAcentral.